RNAcentral lists this transfer RNA (81 nucleotides) under Nanobdellota archaeon. Its description in RNAcentral is "tRNA-Ser". It matches the Rfam family "tRNA". From Rfam's summary of the family: Transfer RNA (tRNA) molecules are approximately 80 nucleotides in length. Lineage: Archaea; Nanobdellati; Nanobdellota. The record is from RNAcentral.
GCCGACAUCGCUCAAUGGUAGAGCAGUGGAUUGCUAAUCCACGCCCUUCGGGGCUUCGGGGUUCAAUUCCCCGUGUCGGCG